CAGCCCCAAAGCGCCUCCUUGCUCAGGGUGUGGAGAUUGCUCUUUUGUGGAACUUACCUUAACAAGGAAUAUACGCCUUGGUAACGUGUUGGGUGUCACCUUAGGUGGGAAAGCAUGGACUUACACCCCAGGCUGCUCAUAGAUGGAAGAGCCUCGGUCCCUACCCCACAGGUGGCCCUGAGGGUGGAACAGCUCCCUGGACACAAGGAAGAAAUAACACAUGUUGACAUGAAGAUUGAAAGUGGGGUCUCUCUUGUGCCCCAGAUGGCCCCAGAAAUGGAACCAUUCACACUUCUUUUCUGCUCACGCUUCUUUUCCCUAGAACUGUUUGGUGAUAAGGUUAGCAUUUCAUUGGAUUUUUAAAAUUUCUUUGUCUUUAUUGUGUAUUCCAACCAGAAGCAGGAGGAUGCUGAUUCC
Molecule: long non-coding RNA, 417 nt
Filed under: Capra hircus (goat)
Lineage: Eukaryota; Metazoa; Chordata; Mammalia; Artiodactyla; Bovidae
Description: lncRNA (ENSCHIG00010023525.1)
Source: RNAcentral